Molecule: unclassified non-coding RNA, 210 nt
Filed under: Hevea brasiliensis (rubber tree)
Lineage: Eukaryota; Viridiplantae; Streptophyta; Magnoliopsida; Malpighiales; Euphorbiaceae
Source: RNAcentral
GAGCCUGGCUCGGGCCCCACGGAUUCCACCUUUUCUCAUACCUUUUUCUGGAAAUUAGGCAUUUCCUAUCAUGUGUGUUGAGUUUGUUUGUUAGAUCUGAAGCUUCUCUUCGGAGCGGCCUGGUUGUGGUUAUAGAUGGGUUCGAAGCCAUGGCUGUACCCGGCUCCGUCAUAUCGACCACUUGAGACAUAUUGGGACACCGACGACGAC